AAAUUGUGGUGACAGGUUGUUUCGUCGGCAGAAGUAUGUAAUUAUACACAAACUUUUAUUAAUAAACUAUUGUUUGGAUUCGAGCUUCGUAGGCUUCGAUAUUUUGUAAGUAUGGUAGAUUUUGCACACACCACGAAAAUGAAGAGAUAAUUCAACGAUUUUCGUGCAAAUAUGAUAAGUAGCUAAUUACUGAAAUUAUUUUAAGUCGUCAAUUUUCAAUAUGGAUACCAAUUAUAACAAUUUAUGGAAGAAAAACAAGAUAUAAAUUUCCAUAUAGAAGGAAAAUGAAUAUAAUUUUUGCAAUAACUUUGGCUUACGACGGCAUUGACGGUAGUGCAGAUUCAUCGCAUCAAUUGGUGCAAGAAUACACUUCGCGACUGGUAGAUUUUGAAAUCAAAGCUGUAAGUUUUAAAUACUUGUUUGAUAUUUUCAAAAAUAUGCUUUGAUAGAGGAAUCGCCUGAGGAUAUUUUCAUUCAUAUUAAAAUUCGAGUUUAUGUUUGCGAAUUGUAUUUUAAUUACUUUUUGAAUAAAUACAUUAUGAAUUUUUUCCAUAAAGUAUUAAAAUUUCCACAAUUGAUUACAUCGACAGAAGGUAAAAAUGCGAUAAAUUAGAGUCGUUAAAAUUUGAGAUACGAUGAUAUUAUACUAUAUUAAAAUCUAUUAGCCCGGUAUACACAAUUAAUCUAUUUUUCUCAGCUCAGGAUUUUCAGGUUUAAUCCCUUCCGUGUUCAUUGCCAGGAUCUCACUCACGUGGCGAGGUGUUACUUGGGUGAGAGAGAGGCGAUGGGCAUGAUGACCCUAGUUGAUAAGUUUAAAUCAAAAUUUCUCGGCGCCCGACGAUACGUCGGUGGUGCACGACGUAUUUUCCACGUUGCACGUACGUAUGUGUAAUCACUCUAUGAGAUUGCGCCGUUUCGAUCAUUAUUUCUGUCGCUAUAAUUAAUUACAAUUGCAAUAUUGCGCAAUAUUGAUGUAUGUAAUUAAAUAUAAAUAAUAAAUAGUUACUGAUCUUU
Apis cerana (Asiatic honeybee) is the source of this 1014-nucleotide long non-coding RNA. RefSeq lists it as uncharacterized. The record is from RefSeq and is a predicted model, not a curated record. NCBI's taxonomy places the organism in Eukaryota, Metazoa, Arthropoda, Insecta, Hymenoptera, Apidae.